This 93-nucleotide small nucleolar RNA is filed under the name Theobroma cacao (cacao). RNAcentral's name for it is "Small nucleolar RNA snoR8a". It matches the Rfam family "Small nucleolar RNA snoR8a". Lineage: Eukaryota; Viridiplantae; Streptophyta; Magnoliopsida; Malvales; Malvaceae. The record is from Rfam by way of RNAcentral.
AAGUUAGCGACGAUUAUAAAAGUAAUUCCUCGUUUUCAUUUGCUUAAUUUGGAUAUGACAAACAUCUUAUUACAACCAUAGAAUCUGAACUAC